UUUUCCAGGAAUCUUGUCCUGGAAAAUGAUGGCGUCUGGCUUGGUGCGCACCUGUUGAGUGAUGAUGGACUUGCAAUGAGGAACCCAUGUGAUGCUCAGAAUCGACGCCUGCAGACUGCAGGGUAGUGAAUGCCUGAAUGGUGAUCAAGGCAUAGAGGCACUGAUGAGUGAUGACUGAUCAGCUUACUGAAACAGUGAACAAGUUUUUUUUUGAGGGCACCCCGUCAGUCAGAAAGGUUAAGGCGCCAGACCGAGCCUGACAUGACACGUCAGCCAACAUGUCCUGACAAGAGC
This 294-nucleotide long non-coding RNA is filed under the name Setaria viridis. Its description in RNAcentral is "long non-coding RNA (SVIR_LNC003874)". The record is from RNAcentral. Lineage: Eukaryota; Viridiplantae; Streptophyta; Magnoliopsida; Poales; Poaceae.